Molecule: ribosomal RNA, 253 nt
Filed under: uncultured bacterium
Lineage: Bacteria
Description: partial 16S ribosomal RNA
Rfam family: Bacterial small subunit ribosomal RNA
Source: RNAcentral
UACGUAGGGUGCAAGCGUUGUCCGGAAUUAUUGGGCGUAAAGCGCACGUAGGUGGUCUGUUAUGUCGGAUGUGAAAGCCCUCGGCUCAACUGAGGAAGUGCAUCCGAAACUGGCAGGCUUGAGUAUGUAAGAGGGUCGCGGAAUUCCCGGUGUAGAGGUGAAAUUCGUAGAUAUCGGGAGGAACACCGGUGGCGAAGGCGGCGACCUGGGACAAUACUGACACUGAGGUGCGAAAGCGUGGGGAGCAAACAGG